This 1028-nucleotide ribosomal RNA is filed under the name Lactobacillus sp. RNAcentral's name for it is "bacterial SSU rRNA". It matches the Rfam family "Bacterial small subunit ribosomal RNA", at positions 1 to 1022 of the family's 1533-position model. Lineage: Bacteria; Bacillati; Bacillota; Bacilli; Lactobacillales; Lactobacillaceae. The record is from RNAcentral.
CCCCUUCACCUACGGCAUGCUAUACUGCAUGUCGCACGAACUCUGGUAUUGAUUGGUGCUUGCAUCAUGAUUUACAUUUGAGUGAGUGGCGAACUGGUGAGUAACACGUGGGAAACCUGCCCAGAAGCGGGGGAUAACACCUGGAAACAGAUGCUAAUACCGCAUAACAACUUGGACCGCAUGGUCCGAGUUUGAAAGAUGGCUUCGGCUAUCACUUUUGGAUGGUCCCGCGGCGUAUUAGCUAGAUGGUGGGGUAACGGCUCACCAUGGCAAUGAUACGUAGCCGACCUGAGAGGGUAAUCGGCCACAUUGGGACUGAGACACGGCCCAAACUCCUACGGGAGGCAGCAGUAGGGAAUCUUCCACAAUGGACGAAAGUCUGAUGGAGCAACGCCGCGUGAGUGAAGAAGGGUUUCGGCUCGUAAAACUCUGUUGUUAAAGAAGAACAUAUCUGAGAGUAACUGUUCAGGUAUUGACGGUAUUUAACCAGAAAGCCACGGCUAACUACGUGCCAGCAGCCGCGGUAAUACGUAGGUGGCAAGCGUUGUCCGGAUUUAUUGGGCGUAAAGCGAGCGCAGGCGGUUUUUUAAGUCUGAUGUGAAAGCCUUCGGCUCAACCGAAGAAGUGCAUCGGAAACUGGGAAACUUGAGUGCAGAAGAGGACAGUGGAACUCCAUGUGUAGCGGUGAAAUGCGUAGAUAUAUGGAAGAACACCAGUGGCGAAGGCGGCUGUCUGGUCUGUAACUGACGCUGAGGCUCGAAAGUAUGGGUAGCAAACAGGAUUAGAUACCCUGGUAGUCCAUACCGUAAACGAUGAAUGCUAAGUGUUGGAGGGUUUCCGCCCUUCAGUGCUGCAGCUAACGCAUUAAGCAUUCCGCCUGGGGAGUACGGCCGCAAGGCUGAAACUCAAAGGAAUUGACGGGGGCCCGCACAAGCGGUGGAGCAUGUGGUUUAAUUCGAAGCUACGCGAAGAACCUUACCAGGUCUUGACAUACUAUUCAAAUCUAAAAAAUUAAACUUUCCCUUCCC